Long non-coding RNA from Lampris incognitus (smalleye Pacific opah), 237 nucleotides. RefSeq lists it as uncharacterized. The record is from RefSeq and is a predicted model, not a curated record. The transcript has 3 exons. Lineage: Eukaryota; Metazoa; Chordata; Actinopteri; Lampriformes; Lampridae.
CAGCUGACGGUUGCUGAGGCAGGGAAAAGACACAUCCCUUCCACGCCGCUGUGUCCAGGAGCAGAGAGGUGGAGGCCUAGAUGUUGACAUGCACCAGUAAAACUGGUUCUGCUGACAUAGGCAGUCCUUCCAAAGCCAACCGUCCUCCAUCAGGUCCUCAGCAGCUCUUUAGGCACGGGGCUCGCAGCCUCAGCUGGUGGCUAAACGUUUCUGUCCCGUGUGGAGGCCUGAGCAUCC